This 1967-nucleotide long non-coding RNA is filed under the name Marmota monax (woodchuck). The record is from RNAcentral. Lineage: Eukaryota; Metazoa; Chordata; Mammalia; Rodentia; Sciuridae.
CGGGCAUUUUAGAAUGGGCUGCUGAGUGCAGAAUGCUUUCUUUUUUUUUAUUUUUUAUUUUUUUUAUUUUUAUUUUUUUAAAUAUUUAUUUAUUUAUUUUAGUUUUUCGGCGGACACAACAUCUUUGUUUGUAUGUGGUGCAGAGGAUCGAACCCGGGCCGCACGCAUGCCAGGCGAGCGUGCUACCGCUUGAGCCACAUCCCCAGCCCUGCAGAAUGCUUUCUAUGAAGAAAGCUUGGUGGUGGUCCUGGGGUGCUGGGAGGUGCAGUGCCCAGGUGAGUGAUGUCAGUGCCCUGAGCCAGGUAGGUGGUGAUGCAGAAGGAAGGACGUGGCCACGUGUGCAGGAGACAUUGAGGAGCAGCCUGGCCAGGGCUGAAUGGGGGAGUCAGAGUCCAAGUCUCAACCUGCAGGGACUCUGUGGACAGACGUGCUGUUCCCUGGAGGUAGGGAGGAAAGAGCAGGUUUUGGGAAAGACUGGGGUUCUGUGUUGGAUUGGUCGAGUGAGUUGGGUCCAGGUGGAAAGUUGUACAGUUUAGGGUUCCAGAAAGAGGGAGUGGUUUGUGCAGUCGGCCACAAAGGGAGGCUGCACCCUCUUGGAUGACAUAUGAAGAGGAAGUGUCCACUGGGGGAGUGGCUGGAGGACGCUGGACUCUAGCAGCCUUGGCUUGGGUCAAGCAGUGAACGGAAGUGAAACCAGAAGUGGAGUGCAGAUUUCUCUGUCAAGAAGUUUGGAGGGAGAGCAACAGUGCUGCUGCUGGGAGCCUCACAGAUGCCUUAGUGUUUUCUUAUUUGAAGUUGGAAAGGAUUCAAGUCCUUUGGAAUUUGGAAGGAAGGAUCCAGAAGAGAGGGAGGUUGGCAAUACAGGUAGGGCAAGGGGAUGGCAUGGAGCCCAGGUGGUUGAGGAAGGGAGCCUCUUCCUUUGUAACAGGCAAGGAAAGCAGAAUCCAGCUUGGAUGCCAGGGGGCUGGGAAUGAGAGUUCCCAGGCAAUGGCUUCUAUUUUCUCCAAAAAGUGGCAGGGGGAGAUCCCUGGAUGGUUCUGGAAACUGUGAAUUGGCCAUAGAGUGGGGACCUUGGAAGACUGGGGGCAUUUGAAAUGCCACUGAGGGGAAUGGGCAGGGAGCACAGGAAACAGGGCUGCUGGCAUGAGUGAGAGCCCAUCUGAGGGUGGAGAUCAGCAAUCUGCAGUGGCUCCAACCUGGCCUUCAGCAAGAUGGCUAUAGGGUUUUUCCAGACAGAGGUGACAGGAAAAUCCUAUGGGCUGGAAGUCAGUGAUAACUGGUGACUGGGCACCGGGAAGGUAAGAAGGGAAGAAAUAGAAAGGUCAGUGCACUGGGUGGGAGGAGAGGACUCCAUGCCAGGGAAGAAUCUGGAAGUCCCCAUCUUAGUUCAUUGGGCUGUUAUAACAAAAUGCAUUAUUUAUUUAUUUUUGCAGUGCUGGGGAUUAAAUCUAGGACACUGUGCGCGUUAAGCAUCCCCAGCCCUAGACUGGGUAAUUUAUAAACAGGAAUUUAUUGCUCACAGUUCUAGAGGCUGGGAAGUUCAAGGUCAAGGUGCCAGCAGAUUUGGUGUCUGGUGAGGUUCUGUUCCUCAGAGUGGUGCCUUUUAGUCAUGUACUCUUUUGUUAGGAGUGGGGAACAACCUUUUUCAGGCCUCUCUCUUUUGAAAAAAAAUUUAUUAAAACAAAAAUUUUUUUUGGCAGGGCCUAAUACAUGCUGGGUUUUAGGACUCAAUCUCUCAGUCUCUCUCUCUCUCUCUCUCUCUCUCUCUCUCUGGUACCAGAAAUUGAACUCAGGGAGACUCAGUUACUGAGCCACAUCCCCAGCCCUAUUUUGUAUUCUAUUAGAGACAGGGUCUCACUGAAUUGCUAAGCGCCUUGCUGUUGCUAAGGCUAGCUUUGAACUUAUGAUCCUCCUGUCUCAGCCUCCUGAGCUGCUGGGAUUACAGGUGGGCGCCACCACACCCUGCU